RNAcentral lists this ribosomal RNA (508 nucleotides) under uncultured Glomus. RNAcentral describes it as "SSU rRNA". It matches the Rfam family "Eukaryotic small subunit ribosomal RNA", at positions 569 to 1078 of the family's 1831-position model. The record is from RNAcentral. Lineage: Eukaryota; Fungi; Glomeromycota; Glomeromycetes; Glomerales; Glomeraceae.
AGCAGCCGCGGUAAUUCCAGCUCCAAUAGCGUAUAUUAAAGUUGUUGCAGUUAAAAAGCUCGUAGUUGAACCUCGGGAUCAAUGGGUCGGUCGUGCCAAUGGUAUGUACUGGCCUCAUUGGUUCUCACCUUCUAAGGAACCGUGAUGUCAUUUGUUUGAUGUUGCGGGGAAUUAGGACUGUUACCUUGAAAAAAUUAGAGUGUUUAAAGCAGGCCAACGCUUGAAUACAUUAGCAUGGAAUAAUGAAAUAGGACAUCGCAUUCUAUUUUGUUGGUUUCUAGGAUCGAUGUAAUGAUUAAUAGGGAUAGUUGGGGGCAUUAGUAUUCAAUUGUCAGAGGUGAAAUUCUUGGAUUUAUUGAAGACUAACUACUGCGAAAGCAUUUGCCAAGGAUGUUUUCAUUAAUCAAGAACGAAAGUUAGGGGAAUCGAAGACGAUCAGAUACCGUCGUAGUCUUAACCAUAAACUAUGCCGACUAGGGAUCGGAUGAUGUUAAUUUUUAAUGACUCU